GACGAACGCUGGCGGCGUGCUUAACACAUGCAAGUCGAACGGAAAGGCCCUGCUUUUGUGGGGUGCUCGAGUGGCGAACGGGUGAGUAACACGUGAGUAACCUGCCCUUGACUUUGGGACAACUUCAGGAAACUGGGGCUAAUACCGGAUAGGAGCUCCUGCUGCAUGGUGGGGGUUGGAAAGUUUCGGCGGUUGGGGCUGGACUCGCGGCUUAUCAGCUUGUUGGUGGGGUAGUGGCUUACCAAGGCUUUGACGGGUAGCCGGCCUGAGAGGGUGACCGGCCACAUUGGGACUGAGAUACGGCCCAGACUCCUACGGGAGGCAGCAGUGGGGAAUAUUGCACAAUGGGCGGAAGCCUGAUGCAGCAACGCCGCGUGCGGGAUGACGGCCUUCGGGUUGUAAACCGCUUUCGCCUGUGACGAAGCGUGAGUGACGGUAAUGGGUAAAGAAGCACCGGCUAACUACGUG
Molecule: ribosomal RNA, 468 nt
Filed under: uncultured bacterium
Lineage: Bacteria
Description: partial 16S ribosomal RNA
Rfam family: Bacterial small subunit ribosomal RNA
Source: RNAcentral